RNAcentral lists this ribosomal RNA (606 nucleotides) under Flagellimonas marinaquae. RNAcentral's name for it is "bacterial SSU rRNA". It matches the Rfam family "Bacterial small subunit ribosomal RNA", at positions 65 to 662 of the family's 1533-position model. Lineage: Bacteria; Pseudomonadati; Bacteroidota; Flavobacteriia; Flavobacteriales; Flavobacteriaceae. The record is from RNAcentral.
AGGGGCAGCGGGGAAAAGCUUGCUUUUCCGCCGGCGACCGGCGCACGGGUGCGGAACGCGUAUGGAACCUGCCCCUGUCAGGGGAAUAGCCCAGGGAAACUUGGAUUAAUGCCCCAUGGUACCGUUAUAUCGCAUGAUAUUUCGGUUAAAGAUUUAUCGGACAGGGAUGGCCAUGCGUACCAUUAGUUAGUUGGUGGGGUAACGGCCCACCAAGGCAGCGAUGGUUAGGGGCCCUGAGAGGGGGAUCCCCCACACUGGUACUGAGACACGGACCAGACUCCUACGGGAGGCAGCAGUGAGGAAUAUUGGACAAUGGGCGGGAGCCUGAUCCAGCCAUGCCGCGUGCAGGAUGACGGCCCUAUGGGUUGUAAACUGCUUUUAUACGGGAAGAACUUCGCCCACGAGUGGGCGUCUGACGGUACCGUAAGAAUAAGGACCGGCUAACUCCGUGCCAGCAGCCGCGGUAAUACGGAGGGUCCGAGCGUUAUCCGGAAUCAUUGGGUUUAAAGGGUCCGUAGGCGGGCCUGUAAGUCAGGGGUGAAAGUUUGUGGCUCAACCAUAAAAUUGCCUUUGAUACUGCAGGUCUUGAGUCAUGGUGGGGUCGCC